RNAcentral lists this long non-coding RNA (1074 nucleotides) under Vulpes vulpes (red fox). RNAcentral describes it as "lncRNA (ENSVVUG00000003084.1)". Lineage: Eukaryota; Metazoa; Chordata; Mammalia; Carnivora; Canidae. The record is from RNAcentral.
AACUGUUUGAGCUGGGUAGAAAAUUUAGAGUUAAGUUUCCUAGAGACGAAACAAAGAAGGAAAAGUUCCUUCAUUAUAAAGUCCACAAUGUUCCUAAGAUAGUGAUCCUCAGCUGUUCAACAGAAGCACAACUAAAGUUUGAGAGAAAUUUUAACUUUGAGGCCCAUCAAGAGGGCACCAAGCAAUAAAGGAAAUAUCAAGCUCAUGUGGGUCUUUUCUCUUGGUUUCACAGAAUCCCUCAGAGGGAACUUUUCCACUCUCCAGCUUGGGUUACAACCGAUUGCUGUGAUUCCUGCUCCAGACGUGCUUCUAGCUGGGAAGAGAAGAGCUACCGAAACCUCUCAACAUCCAAAGAAGUUCCUCGGCUUUGGUUACAGUUGUUCUGUGUAGGCUGCCCAACCAUCCUGACAGCGCCGACAGAUGCAGCCUCAGAGGGUGAAGCCACAGCUUGGGUCUUCUGGUCCAGGGCGGCCCUCUGGGAAAAAGACCCAUUUGUCUCAGCCUAAACUGAAGAAGGCAGCUGAAAUUCCAACCGCCUGCAGGGAAGCACUUGAUGAAGUAUUUGGAAUUUGAGGGGGUGGAGGGGACUCGUCUCUCCCAAGAGGCCUUGUCUUGUGAGAGAAAGAACACAUGCUUUGAGGCAGAGACAUGGGCUCAGAUGCCAGCUGUGCCACUUACCAGGAGUGUGGCUGGGAGUAGGUGAUAGCCUCUCUGAGCUGGGAAUGGUGCCCACUUAGACACCUACCUAUGAAGUCCCUACCCACCCUCACCCUGAGCUAAUACAUGGUAUGCAAAGGGUUCUUGCAGACCUUCUUCUAUCUUUCCACAGAUAUCCAGUAACACAUGUGUAAAGGGGGUUUGUGUACAUAUGAACACCACAGUCCUCACCUUUGCAUCUCAGGCUAAAUGCCAGGCCCUCCUAGUCCUCAAAAACUAAAUUAAAUGCCCCUUCCAUAUUUGAUUUGAAGCACACUUAUCUCAAACUAUUAUUAUAUAUUCCUCUGGGCUCAUUUAUCUCAUGGCUUUCUGGUCCCCAAGCUACUAGAGUUCCAUGAAGGCAGAGAUAAAAUCUGC